CUCUCCUAUCGGUCACGCCCUCCAGUUAGCUUGCAGGUGGCUAUGUACUCAUUAGCGUCAAUGGCACUUUCUAUAAGACCGGCACCGGAGGUGGGCUAGUAAGUGAUCCCUAGGCUCCGUACGUCCUCCCUACACUGUGUUCGCGGUGCUGUCACCUAUGAAAGGUAUUUGGCUGUGUACCAGACGCUUCCGGGUAGUGUUUUGUUGAUCUACCGAAGGUCUUGACUGAAAAGACGCCGUGUACGCGCAGGUUGCACUUUCUAUUGGGAGAUGCGUUAAGGUAACAUUGGCUGUAUAUCUCAGUAAGGUUUGCCAUGUAAUAUGUGUGUGCGCAUGUGUACAUAUGUAUGUUUAUAUGCAUGUUUACAGUAACUGGAUCUACUAUAAUGUGUCAUGUUUUGCUGUAAGUCCUUGUGAUUUAACUAGCCAAUAACCUUUUAUUAUGUUGUAUGUGAGCUAUGCUUG
This is a long non-coding RNA of Alosa sapidissima (American shad), 465 nucleotides long. RefSeq lists it as uncharacterized. NCBI's taxonomy places the organism in Eukaryota, Metazoa, Chordata, Actinopteri, Clupeiformes, Clupeidae. The record is from RefSeq and is a predicted model, not a curated record. The transcript is spliced from 3 exons.